This is a long non-coding RNA of Dermacentor silvarum, 582 nucleotides long. RefSeq lists it as uncharacterized. Lineage: Eukaryota; Metazoa; Arthropoda; Arachnida; Ixodida; Ixodidae. The transcript has 4 exons. The record is from RefSeq and is a predicted model, not a curated record.
UAUAUCACAUUCCGUGCCUUUCUUUGGGAUGCAGCGCACUACAGACAAGGACACCAGAAUGCGAGAACAAGAGCACAUACGCUGAUCGACACGGCGAAGACACGCAGUUCAUCGCAGCCGUGACAGAUGGCGCCACUGUUCCGGGGCAGUCGAAUUGACAUGUUUUGAGUGACGUCACCACAGAGGACACCUGCAUCAGAUUUACUGUGGACCUAACCGGAGUUCUCGAGCCGUUUUCCGUCUGCGUCCUGGCGCCACCAGACGUCCUCCCAUUGCCAGCUGAAGCAGGUGUGCAUGGAGUUGGAUCCUCGAGCCAGUCUCCCGUGUUAGUCCCGGCGCCGCCAGACCAUCGAGCUCUCCAACCCCAACCCAACCCGAGAGGACUGGGAGGCGGCCCUGCUCCGCUGCCUGGACCUUCCUGCCCAACAGGCCAUGGUCCGGAGUGUCAGGACAGCGGCCACGACCAAUGGGGUCCCUGAAUAGAGACUCCACCUAGUAUUGUAGGGAGCUGGCCCACUAAGGGCUGGUUUUCAGAACAACCUCUCUGUAAAUAAUACUUUAAUAAAUGUUUACCACCACCAC